UACGAAGGGGGCUAGCGUUGCUCGGAAUUACUGGGCGUAAAGGGCGCGUAGGCGGAUAGUUCAGUCGGGGGUGAAAGCCCGGGGCUCAACCUCGGAACUGCCUUCGAUACUGGCUAUCUUGAGUACGGGAGAGGUGUGUGGAACUCCGAGUGUAGAGGUGAAAUUCGUAGAUAUUCGGAAGAACACCAGUGGCGAAGGCGACACACUGGCCCGUUACUGACGCUGAGGCGCGAAAGCGUGGGGAGCAAACAGG
Molecule: ribosomal RNA, 253 nt
Filed under: uncultured bacterium
Lineage: Bacteria
Description: partial 16S ribosomal RNA
Rfam family: Bacterial small subunit ribosomal RNA
Source: RNAcentral